Molecule: long non-coding RNA, 1656 nt
Organism: Haliotis rufescens (red abalone)
Lineage: Eukaryota; Metazoa; Mollusca; Gastropoda; Lepetellida; Haliotidae
Exons: 3
Source: RefSeq, a predicted model, not a curated record
UUGGAAAGGUCUGUCUGUACUGAUCUAGCAGAAGCUGGUUUGUUGACAACCCAGAGAAAAGUCCUGACACGUCAUAAGCAAAACAUCCCUGCGUCGGGGCAUUGAAUACUGUAUCCUUGCCUAAUCUAGUAUCCUCUCCUUCUAGCAGCUGCACAAAGCGUGUAGCGUGGCGAUGAUUGUAAGUACUCUUGAGCAGGCAAACCAGACUAUGUUCUUGUCUAACACUUGGUAAAAAGCUCCCUACACCACCACGUGACAAAACAGAGUGAACUCUAUAGCCAAAAGGUGUCCCAAGUUCCUAAGAGAUAACAGCGCACGUGCAGCCACUUCCUGGAUGAAUUUGUGACAUGACCAUUGCCUUAGCAAGUUGAUCUAUGUGAUAUAUGAAGUCUGAAAUGAUGAAAUUGCCAAAUUUCAGUAAAAGUAAAAGUGUCAGAACUAGCAAAAAAGUGGCGCCCAAUCAAGCUCAUGUUCAUUUCCUUGACAAUGUCUAUCUUCUUGCGCAACAGAUUGAACAAACACCGAUGACAGUCUUUGUUGAUUCCAGGAAGUAGGUAAGGGACACAGAUGCCAAUCCAGACUGUCAGAACAUCUCCAAACCAACACAGUAAAUCUCAUCAAGGCAAUGCAAAGGUGAAGUGGCUGGCAAAGACAAGGCAUCAAAGUCUACUGGGGUCAAUACUACAGGAGGCCUCUCGGGAGAGGUUCUGUUCUGUGAUAGGACGUCCUCUUUAGCAAGUACUAAAUCAUCUCAUGGGUGAGCGGGUUGAUCGACAGACAACUCUCAGCUGAGGAGCAGAACCGUCAGGAACCGGCUGAAAGCGGCAGGACUGAGGGCUAGAUGAGUCAUAAAGUGUCCCUUGUUGAGAGAUCACCACAAAGCUGCUCGUUUAGCAUGGUGUAUUGCGCAACAGAACUGGAAUCUAAGAACGUGAAGACGGAUCCAUUGGUCAGACGAAAGUCGCUUUCUUCUCCACGUCACUUAUGGAAGAACGAGAAUUUAGAGGCAUCGAACACAGCCUACACCCUCAGGAACAUUAAACCGACUACUGCAUACGGCAGGGGCUCGGUAAUGGUUUGGGGGUGUAUCUCUUAUGAUUGCAGGUUGGAUUUGGUCACCAUAAUGGGCAACUUAACAGGGGCUUAGUAUAUCGGGGACGUUUUGAGGCCAGUCGUCGUUCCUCAUUUUGACAACAACCCUACUGCUACUCAACCUCAGAACAUGGAUGGCAAUGCCAGGCCUCAUUGUUCGCAUGCAGUCGUGGAUAACAUGAGGGCCAAUGCAAUAACGACUCUGCCCUGGCCAGCAAUGAGCCAAGAUUUGAACCCCCUUGAAUAAGUUUGGGAUAUUCUGGGGUGGCUCAUACAGGCACGAGAUCCUCCUGUACAAGAUUUACGCCGAUUGGGAGCAGCAUUGCAUCAGGAGUGGUUGAUGUUGACCCAUUCAACAGAUCCAAUGUCUGACUGGAGGCAUGAGAUGUAGGGUGGAAUGCGUCAUCCGGUCACUUGGCGGUUAUACCUGCUACUGAUCUGUUUCAUGUGUCAUGUCAAGUAGAGACUCUAAGGAACAUUUUCACAUGAAAUCAAAUGUAACUUGUUUACUUAAUCUUGCAGCUCAAUACAUUAUUUAGGUUUUGUCUAAGGUCAAAAACAGUA